Molecule: long non-coding RNA, 2247 nt
Organism: Vigna radiata var. radiata (mung bean)
Lineage: Eukaryota; Viridiplantae; Streptophyta; Magnoliopsida; Fabales; Fabaceae
Exons: 3
Source: RefSeq, a predicted model, not a curated record
AAAUUAAAAUACAAUUUUUAUUACUCUAGCUUAUGUUUUACAUUUAAAUUUUUCUAAAUCUUUCCUCCCUCCAGCCCUUCACAUUUCCCCCCUUUUCCAAACCUGCGAAACUUUCAUUUUUUCCCCCUCAAAUUUCCCCUUUUUCUCCGUAGCACCUCUCAUCUUUUCCCUAAAUGUUUCAUGCAACCAUUUGAUUUCUCCUGUAACGCAGCUCGUCCUCAUUUCUUCUCAACGAACGCAACUCCCACAACGUAGCUCAUCCUUGCAACGAACGCAGCUCCCGCACCGCUGCUCAUCAUCAUUUUGUGAUCUCUGUCUUCAGUUAGGGUUUAUCUGUGUCUUUGUUGCAGUCGUUUUUGUCGUUACAGUCGCUGUUGCCGUUGCAGUCGCCGAUUCGUUCUGAGUUGUGGUGGUCGUUGAGUCCUUUGUUGCGGUGGUAGCCGUUGUGUCCUCAGUUAAAGUCGUUGUUGAGUUACCUCGUUCCCCCAUUUUCAAAGAUGUUGAAGAUUCAAACAGACUCUGAGGAUAAAAACUUAUCACUCAGGGUUGAUGCUGUGGUAUUAUCUCUGAAUACUCUCCCCCUUCUUCCGUUUCCUCUUGAAAGGUUCGAGACCUCAAAAUAACACCUCGUGUGCUAGUUGGUCAUAGUUUUGGGGGGAAAGGUUAGUCAUUGAUUGUUUGAUUAAGUUAAUUUUUAAGUGCCUUUUUUUCAGUAUAGAUUUAUCCAUUUUUCAUUUGUUUUGAGCGUGGUGGACCAAGCUGCAAAGCCCCUUGCUCGACCAGUUAGAGUAUGUUCAAACUCCAUUCGUGUUUGCUUUUGCUUAAUGAAGUAAGUGAAGCUUAUUGAUGAAUGGAUGUUAGACUAUGCAUGGAUGUAACUUAUACACUAUUAUGAAAUAGAUAACUCAUUCCAUUAAUGAUAUAUGAAAUGGUAUUCUUGCCUUUGUGGAGUCAAGUUACUAUUAUGCACUUCUUGGAUGCCAAAUGAACUCACCUUGUUAGGCUUCCACACUAACUCUGUUUUCACUUUUCCUUCAUCCAUUAUCUUUUUGGUGCCUAAAGCUAGGUAACUGUAGUUAUAUAUAGUUACUUAUCAUAAUAUUUCUGUAGGUGAUUGCUGAAAGGUUUGAGAGAAAUGUUUCAGGCUAUGGACAUUGAUAACAGUGGUGCAAUCACUUUUGAUGAACUCAAAACUAGUCUAAGAAGAUAUGGUUUUACCAUUAAAGAUGUAGAAAUACAUGAUCUGACGGAAGCGGUAGGUUGUUGGUUUGGUUUGUGAGGAAAGUUUUUUUUUUUUAUUUUUAUUUAGUGUUUAUACGUCCAUUUUAUUUGGAUAUAUUCUUUUUCGAAUAUAAUAUUGUAUUCUUUGCUUUCAAUAUAGUAUUGUAUUCUUUUUCGAAUAUAAUACUGUAUUCAUUACUUCAACGUCUCUUAUGUUUGUACUGUAUUCUUUGUCAUCCACUUUGUUACAUGAUUAUUCUUAAAGGACAGGACCAUGGUUUGCAAAGAGGUUUAGAAUGUUUAAAAAAUAUCAGCCUUCUUAAAAUUAUAUUAAUUUAUUAUUAGUAAACUAUAUAAUGAUUAUUAUUGGUAAACUUUACAAUGAUUGUUAUUAUAUGUUUAAAUGACAAAUAGUGUGCCAAAUUUGAUCAAAUGAUAUUCUUGAAGGCAUAUAAGUGUUUUUGUUACUUCUUUUGCUACACAUGAAUAAUUGUUUUUGGUUUUACAUAUCUAGAUGACAUUUUUAGUUACCUUUUGAAACCUUUCUCCUCCAUUGUGAGUUUUUCCUGUAUUAAUUUUCUUAAAAUUGAUGUAACUUUUACAGCAUUCAAUAGCCAUAUUCCUUUCUUGAGUUACAACGCCUGUUGAGAAGAUUAUAGAUCAACCCGUUGAUUUUUAUUCUCCCACCCACUCACAAGUAAGUUUCUUCAUUCUAAGUUUUAGUUUAACUUCUAUACUUUGUCACUAUAAAUCCAUUGGUUAUCUUAACAAAUUCAUUUUUUUGGUUUCUCACUAUUGUUGCUUUCUAAUACUGCAAAAUUGUAUGACUAUAAUUAUCAUUAUUUAUUAUAUUAAUUUUUGUUUUAUUAUUUCAGCAAGUUGGUGAUUCAAAUGAAUCCAAGUCUCUUUUAAGUACAAGACAAUCAUACAGUGGAAGUAACAUUUAGGAAGUUGUGAUAUUUUUUUAGGAUAAAACUAUAUUUAGAUUAUUAUGAAUUUUGAGUACUUAUUGAUUAAGUUGUAAAG